GUCUACAACUAUACCCUGAAAGUGCCCGAUCUCAUCUGAUCUCAGAAGCUAAGCAGGGUCUGGCCUGGUUAGUACUUGGAUGAGAGACUGCCUGGGAAUACCUGGUGUUUUAGGUA
Molecule: ribosomal RNA, 116 nt
Filed under: Mus pahari (shrew mouse)
Lineage: Eukaryota; Metazoa; Chordata; Mammalia; Rodentia; Muridae
Source: RNAcentral